This 50-nucleotide transfer RNA is filed under the name Hygrodicranum bolivianum. Its description in RNAcentral is "partial tRNA-Leu". The record is from RNAcentral. RNAcentral also lists the same sequence under 1 other name. Lineage: Eukaryota; Viridiplantae; Streptophyta; Bryopsida; Dicranales; Dicranaceae.
AAAAUCCGUUGGCUUUANUGACCGUGAGGGUUCAAGUCCCUCUACCCCCA